RNAcentral lists this ribosomal RNA (424 nucleotides) under uncultured bacterium. RNAcentral describes it as "bacterial SSU rRNA". It matches the Rfam family "Bacterial small subunit ribosomal RNA", at positions 355 to 772 of the family's 1533-position model. The record is from RNAcentral.
UGGGGAAUAUUGGACAAUGGGCGAAAGCCUGAUCCAGCGACGCCGCGUGGGUGAAGAAGGCCUUCGGGUUGUAAAGCCCUUUAAGCCGGGACGAAAAAGCUGCACCUAACACGUGCGGCCUUGCCGGUACCGGGAGAAUAAGCCCCGGCUAACUCCGUGCCAGCAGCCGCGGUAAUACGGAGGGGGCUAGCGUUGUUCGGAAUUACUGGGCGUAAAGCGCACGUAGGCGGCUUUGUAAGUUAGAGGUGAAAGCCCAGAGCUCAACUCUGGAAUUGCCUUUAAGACUGCAUCGCUUGAAUUGUGGAGAGGUGAGUGGAAUUCCGAGUGUAGAGGUGAAAUUCGUAGAUAUUCGGAAGAACACCAGUGGCGAAGGCGACUCACUGGACACAUAUUGACGCUGAGGUGCGAAAGCGUGGGGAGCAAA